AGUGAACGCUGGCGGUAGGCCUAACACAUGCAAGUCGAACGGCAGCACAGUAAGAGCUUGCUCUUACGGGUGGCGAGUGGCGGACGGGUGAGGAAUACAUCGGAAUCUACUUUUUCGUGGGGGAUAACGUAGGGAAACUUACGCUAAUACCGCAUACGACCUACGGGUGAAAGCAGGGGAUCUUCGGACCUUGCGCGAUUGAAUGAGCCGAUGUCGGAUUAGCUAGUUGGCGGGGUAAAGGCCCACCAAGGCGACGAUCCGUAGCUGGUCUGAGAGGAUGGUAGGCCACACUGGAACUGAGACACGGUCCAGACUCCUACGGGAGGCAGCAGUGGGGAAUAUUGGGCAGAGGGCGCAAGCCUGAUCCAGCCAUACCGCGUGGGUGGAGACGGCCUUCGGGUUGUAAAGCCCUUUUGUUGGGAAAGAAAAGCAGCAGGUUAAUACCCCGCUGUUCUGACGGUACCCAGAGAAUAAGCACCGGCUAACUACGUG
This 492-nucleotide ribosomal RNA is filed under the name uncultured bacterium. Its description in RNAcentral is "partial 16S ribosomal RNA". It matches the Rfam family "Bacterial small subunit ribosomal RNA", at positions 29 to 507 of the family's 1533-position model. The record is from RNAcentral.